UACAGGGGGUGCAAACGUUGCUCGGAAUCAUUGGGCGUAAAGCGCACGUAGGCGGUCUGUUAUGUCGUAUGUGAAAGCCCUUGGCUCAACUGAGGAAGUGCAUCCGAAACUGGCAGGCUAGAGUACUAAAGAGGAUCGCGGAAUUCCCGGUGUAGAGGUGAAAUUCGUAGAUAUCGGGAGGAACACCGGUGGCGAAGGCGGCGAUCUGGGUAGAUACUGACGCUGAGGUGCGAAAGCGUGGGGAGCAAACAGG
This 253-nucleotide ribosomal RNA is filed under the name uncultured bacterium. RNAcentral's name for it is "partial 16S ribosomal RNA". It matches the Rfam family "Bacterial small subunit ribosomal RNA", at positions 524 to 776 of the family's 1533-position model. The record is from RNAcentral.